GGGCGAGUAACGCGUGAGCAACCUGCCCCUCAGUGGGGAACAACAGUUGGAAACGACUGCUAAUACCGCAUAACGUACUUUGGCCGCAUGACCGGAGUACCAAAGGAGCAAUUCGCUGAGGGAUGGGCUCGCGUCCGAUUAGCUAGAUGGUGGGGUAACGGCCUACCAUGGCGACGAUCGGUAGCCGAACUGAGAGGUUGAUCGGCCGCAUUGGGACUGAGACACGGCCCAGACUCCUACGGGAGGCAGCAGUGGGGGAUAUUGCACAAUGGAGGAAACUCUGAUGCAGCAACGCCGCGUGAGGGAAGAAGGUCUUCGGAUUGUAAACCUAAGUAGUCAGGGACGAAAGAAAUGACGGUACCUGAAGAGUAAGCUCCGGCUAACUACGUGCCAGCAGCCGCGGUAAUACGUAGGGAGCGAGCGUUGUCCGGAUUUACUGGGUGUAAAGGGUGCGUAGGCGGGCCUGCAAGUCAGACGUGAAAUACCGGGGCUUAACUCCGGGGCUGCGUUUGAAACUGUGGGUCUUGAGUGAAGUAGAGGCAGGCGGAAUUCCUAGUGUAGCGGUGAAAUGCGUAGAUAUUAGGAGGAACACCAGUGGCGAAGGCGGCCUGCUGGGCUUUAACUGACGCUGAGGCACGAA
Molecule: ribosomal RNA, 640 nt
Filed under: uncultured bacterium
Lineage: Bacteria
Description: bacterial SSU rRNA
Rfam family: Bacterial small subunit ribosomal RNA
Source: RNAcentral